Molecule: ribosomal RNA, 828 nt
Filed under: uncultured Gammaproteobacteria bacterium
Lineage: Bacteria; Pseudomonadati; Pseudomonadota; Gammaproteobacteria
Description: bacterial SSU rRNA
Rfam family: Bacterial small subunit ribosomal RNA
Source: RNAcentral
CAUGCAAGUCGAACGAGAAAGCUCUUUCGGGAGCGAGUAAAGUGGCGGACGGGUGAGGAACGCGUAGGAAUCUGCCUAGUAGUGGGGGAUAACUCGGGGAAACUCGAGCUAAUACCGCAUACACUCUGAGGAGAAAAGCGGGGGACCUUUGGCCUCGCGCUAUUAGAGGAGCCUGCGUUAGAUUAGUUUGUUGGUGAGGUAAUGGCUCACCAAGACUACGAUCUAUAGCUGGUCUGAGAGGACGAUCAGCCACACUGGAACUGAGACACGGUCCAGACUUCUACGGAAGGCAGCAGUUAGGAAUAUUGCGCAAUGGGCGAAAGCCUGACGCAGCGAUGCCGCGUGUGUGAAGAAGGCUCUAGGGUUGUAAAGCACUUUCAGUCGUGAAGAAAUUUAUUUCGUUAAUACCGAAAUGAUUUGACGUUAACGACAGAAGAAGUACCGGCUAACUCCGUGCCAGCAGCCGCGGUAAUACGGAGGGUACGAACGUUAAUCGGAAUUACUGGGCGUAAAGCGCGCGUAGGCGGUUUGUUAAGUGGGAUGUGAAAGCCCCGGGCUCAACCUGGGAACUGCAUUCCAAACUGGCAAACUAGAGUGUGGUAGAGGGAAGUAGAAUUUGAUGUGUAGCGGUGAAAUGCGUAGAUAUAUCAAGGAAUACCAAUGGCGAAGGCAGCUUCCUGGACUAACACUGACGCUGAGGUGCGAAAGCGUGGGGAGCAAACAGGAUUAGAUACCCUGGUAGUCCACGCCGUAAACGAUGAGAACUAGCCGUUGGGAGGUUCGCCUCUUAGUGGCGCAGCUAACGCAAUAAGUUCUCCGCCUGGGGAG